AGUCCAUUAUGAGGGCACUUUAAUAAUAAUUUAUUGUACCUUUCCCAUGCCUCAUAUAAGGACUCGUCAUCCAUUUGUUGAAAGAUAGUAACUUCAUUCUACAAGU
Non-coding RNA from Gossypium raimondii (Peruvian cotton), 106 nucleotides. The record is from Rfam. NCBI's taxonomy places the organism in Eukaryota, Viridiplantae, Streptophyta, Magnoliopsida, Malvales, Malvaceae.